UACAGAGGGGGCAAGCGUUAUUCGGAAUUAUUGGGCGUAAAGGGCGCGUAGGCGGCUUUGCAAGUCGGGUGUGAAAUCCCCAGGCUUAACCUGGGAACUGCAUUCGAGACUGCAUUGCUAGAGUAUGGGAGAGGGAAGUGGAAUUUCAGGUGUAGCGGUGAAAUGCGUAGAUAUCUGAAGGAACAUCAGUGGCGAAAGCGACUUCCUGGACCAAUACUGACGCUCAUGUGCGAAAGCGUGGGGAGCAAACAGG
Molecule: ribosomal RNA, 253 nt
Filed under: uncultured bacterium
Lineage: Bacteria
Description: partial 16S ribosomal RNA
Rfam family: Bacterial small subunit ribosomal RNA
Source: RNAcentral